Molecule: small nuclear RNA, 20 nt
Filed under: Arabidopsis thaliana (thale cress)
Lineage: Eukaryota; Viridiplantae; Streptophyta; Magnoliopsida; Brassicales; Brassicaceae
Description: snRNA_17234
Source: RNAcentral
AGAGGGUGAGAGCCCCGUCG